This 239-nucleotide ribosomal RNA is filed under the name uncultured bacterium. RNAcentral's name for it is "partial 16S ribosomal RNA". It matches the Rfam family "Bacterial small subunit ribosomal RNA", at positions 96 to 334 of the family's 1533-position model. The record is from RNAcentral.
UGGCGAACGGGUGAGUAACGCGUGAGGAACCUGCCUCAAAGAGGGGGACAACAGUUGGAAACGACUGCUAAUACCGCAUAAGCCCACGACCCGGCAUCGGGUAGAGGGAAAAGGAGCAAUCCGCUUUGAGAUGGCCUCGCUCCGAUUAGCUAGUUGGUGAGGUAACGGCCCACCAAGGCGACGAUCGGUAGCCGGACUGAGAGGUUGAACGGCCACAUUGGGACUGAGACACGGCCCAG